UGGCUCUGCACUGCCUGGGUCUGUUAUGGUGUGGAGGAAUGUCUUAGUCUGUUGCUCCUGUGGGUGUAGCUAAAGCACGAACCAGGAGUCUUCAUCCUUAGAAAGCAGUUAGACAGACACCUGAGAACCAAUCCCAAACUGCAGCCUUCCACAGAACCUUCUGGAACCUUCCCGAAUGCAACUCAUUACUGCCAGAGGGUCUUUGAUGAGAGUCUACUCUCCACCAUUUGUCUUC
RNAcentral lists this long non-coding RNA (235 nucleotides) under Homo sapiens (human). RNAcentral's name for it is "HSALNT0171311". The record is from RNAcentral. Lineage: Eukaryota; Metazoa; Chordata; Mammalia; Primates; Hominidae.